GAUGAACGCUAGCGGCAGGCCUAAUACAUGCAAGUCGAACGGGAUUGAGGAGCUUGCUCCUCAUGAGAGUGGCGCACGGGUGCGUAACACGUAUGUAACCUACCUUAAUCAGGGGGAUAGCCUCUCGAAAGAGAGAUUAACACCGCAUAAAAUCACACUAUGGCAUCAUAGAAUGAUCAAAUAUUUAUAGGAUUAAGAUGGGCAUGCGGAACAUUAGCUAGUUGGUAAGGUAACGGCUUACCAAGGCUACGAUGUUUAGGGGAUCUGAGAGGAUGGCCCCCCACACUGGUACUGAGACACGGACCAGACUCCUACGGGAGGCAGCAGUAAGGAAUAUUGGUCAAUGGACGGAAGUCUGAACCAGCCAUGCCGCGUGCAGGAAGACGGCCCUACGGGUUGUAAACUGCUUUUGUACCGGAAUAAACCUCUUUACGUGUAAGGAGCUGAAUGUACGGUAAGAAUAAGGAUCGGCUAACUCCGUGCCAGCCGCCGCGGUAA
Molecule: ribosomal RNA, 498 nt
Filed under: uncultured bacterium
Lineage: Bacteria
Description: partial 16S ribosomal RNA
Rfam family: Bacterial small subunit ribosomal RNA
Source: RNAcentral